UUUUGCAUCGCUGUGCUUGGUCCC
Molecule: microRNA, 24 nt
Filed under: Equus caballus (horse)
Lineage: Eukaryota; Metazoa; Chordata; Mammalia; Perissodactyla; Equidae
Description: eca-miR-8981
Source: miRBase by way of RNAcentral